GAUGAACGCUGGCGGCGUGCCUAAUACAUGCAAGUCGAGCGAACGGACGAGAAGCUUGCUUCUCUGAUGUUAGCGGCGGACGGGUGAGUAACACGUGGAUAACCUACCUAUAAGACUGGGAUAACUUCGGGAAACCGGAGCUAAUACCGGAUAAUAUUUUGAACCGCAUGGUUCAAAAGUGAAAGACGGUCUUGCUGUCACUUAUAGAUGGAUCCGCGCUGCAUUAGCUAGUUGGUAAGGUAACGGCUUACCAAGGCAACGAUGCAUAGCCGACCUGAGAGGGUGAUCGGCCACACUGGAACUGAGACACGGUCCAGACUCCUACGGGAGGCAGCAGUAGGGAAUCUUCCGCAAUGGGCGAAAGCCUGACGGAGCAACGCCGCGUGAGUGAUGAAGGUCUUCGGAUCGUAAAACUCUGUUAUUAGGGAAGAACAUAUGUGUAAGUAACUGUGCACAUCUUGACGGUACCUAAUCAGAAAGCCACGGCUAACUACGUGCCAGCAGCCGCGGUAAUACGUAGGUGGCAAGCGUUAUCCGGAAUUAUUGGGCGUAAAGCGCGCGUACGCGGUUUUUUAAGUCUGAUGUGAAAGCCCACGGCUCAACCGUGGAGGGUCAUUGGAAACUGGAAAACUUGAGUGCAGAAGAGGAAAGUGGAAUUCCAUGUGUAGCGGUGAAAUGCGCAGAGAUAUGGAGGAACACCAGUGGCGAAGGCGACUUUCUGGUCUGUAACUGACGCUGAUGUGCGAAAGCGUGGGGAUCAAACAGGAUUAGAUACCCUGGUAGUCCACGCCGUAAACGAUGAGUGCUAAGUGUUAGGGGGUUUCCGCCCCUUAGUGCUGCAGCUAACGCAUUAAGCACUCCGCCUGGGGAGUACGACCGCAAGGUUGAAACUCAAAGGAAUUGACGGGGACCCGCACAAGCGGUGGAGCAUGUGGUUUAAUUCGAAGCAACGCGAAGAACCUUACCAAAUCUUGACAUCCUUUGACAACUCUAGAGAUAGAGCCUUCCCCUUCGGGGGACAAAGUGACAGGUGGUGCAUGGUUGUCGUCAGCUCGUGUCGUGAGAUGUUGGGUUAAGUCCCGCAACGAGCGCAACCCUUAAGCUUAGUUGCCAUCAUUAAGUUGGGCACUCUAAGUUGACUGCCGGUGACAAACCGGAGGAAGGUGGGGAUGACGUCAAAUCAUCAUGCCCCUUAUGAUUUGGGCUACACACGUGCUACAAUGGACAAUACAAAGGGCAGCGAAACCGCGAGGUCAAGCAAAUCCCAUAAAGUUGUUCUCAGUUCGGAUUGUAGUCUGCAACUCGACUACAUGAAGCUGGAAUCGCUAGUAAUCGUAGAUCAGCAUGCUACGGUGAAUACGUUCCCGGGUCU
RNAcentral lists this ribosomal RNA (1372 nucleotides) under uncultured bacterium. RNAcentral's name for it is "bacterial SSU rRNA". It matches the Rfam family "Bacterial small subunit ribosomal RNA", at positions 28 to 1381 of the family's 1533-position model. The record is from RNAcentral.